RNAcentral lists this ribosomal RNA (253 nucleotides) under uncultured bacterium. RNAcentral's name for it is "partial 16S ribosomal RNA". It matches the Rfam family "Bacterial small subunit ribosomal RNA", at positions 524 to 776 of the family's 1533-position model. The record is from RNAcentral.
UACGAAGGGGGCUAGCGUUGUUCGGAUUUACUGGGCGUAAAGCGCACGUAGGCGGACUUUUAAGUCAGGGGUGAAAUCCCGGGGCUCAACCCCGGAACUGCCUUUGAUACUGGAAGUCUUGAGUUCGAGAGAGGUGAGUGGAAUUCCGAGUGUAGAGGUGAAAUUCGUAGAUAUUCGGAAGAACACCAGUGGCGAAGGCGACUCGCUGGACAAGUAUUGACGCUGAGGUGCGAAAGCGUGGGGAGCAAACAGG